AUCCCUGAAAGAUGAUCAGGUAGAUAGGUCAGAGGUGGAAGUGUGGCGACACAUGGAGCUGACUGAUACUAAUCGAUCGAGGACUUAACCAAA
RNAcentral lists this ribosomal RNA (93 nucleotides) under Bacillus sp. Leaf406. RNAcentral describes it as "partial 23S ribosomal RNA". It matches the Rfam family "Bacterial large subunit ribosomal RNA", at positions 2833 to 2925 of the family's 2925-position model. The record is from RNAcentral. Lineage: Bacteria; Bacillati; Bacillota; Bacilli; Caryophanales; Bacillaceae.